CACUGUUAUCCACAUGAACGACGCUAAGCCAAUAACAUUCAGAUACACGGCCACGAUCAAGUAGUCAGAAUCAAAUCAUUCUGAUUUUCUGAGCAUCAGAUUAUCUUUCCAAAAUGAUAGUCCCAUGAUGUUCUCACAGUUAUCGAAACAACAAAAUAUCUGAAGAUCUCUCGUAUUCCAAAAUGUCAUUAAUGCCAGC
RNAcentral lists this long non-coding RNA (199 nucleotides) under Elaeis guineensis (African oil palm). RNAcentral describes it as "long non-coding RNA (EGUI_LNC001280)". The record is from RNAcentral. Lineage: Eukaryota; Viridiplantae; Streptophyta; Magnoliopsida; Arecales; Arecaceae.